Long non-coding RNA from Drosophila pseudoobscura, 471 nucleotides. RefSeq lists it as uncharacterized. The transcript is spliced from 2 exons. The record is from RefSeq and is a predicted model, not a curated record. NCBI's taxonomy places the organism in Eukaryota, Metazoa, Arthropoda, Insecta, Diptera, Drosophilidae.
UCAUCCUGAAACGGUACCAAACAGGGGCAAGUUAGUUGACAGGAAGAACAAUUGCUAUUUGUGGCCAUACAACUACCGAAAACAUUGAAACAGUGUUUUUAGUACCGUCAAAAUGAAUCGAAUGCGCAUACAUGAAUAGCUUACCUCUUCAUCUUCCUCGUCAGAGUGGCGAGCGGUGUCCAGCGGUGAAUAAAAAUCAGUCACACUCUGUGGCGGUCGCUCAUUUUCAAUCAAGAUUGACGGCUGUACCAAAGGUGUACGAUCAUUCGAAAUAUGGGCUACAAUAGAAUAGCAAUAAUUAACACCUUGAAGGAAGAAGGGAGCCGAACAGCACUUACACCUAAAAUAGUGCUGGGCAUGUCGUUCCUGCGGUAUGACCCGACAGUCAAGGAACCAGGCUUCGCCCCAGGCCAGUAUAAAUGAUGUGAUUAUGAGGAUGACUUCGAAAACUUGUUGCUUGGCUUGCAGCCA